GGCUUUAUAUUCUAAUUUAAAAUGAUGUUAGAUUGCAAAUCUAAAAAUGCUUUAUAAUAAUAAGCUAAGGCUU
RNAcentral lists this transfer RNA (73 nucleotides) under Bambusicaliscelis fanjingensis. Its description in RNAcentral is "tRNA-Cys". The record is from RNAcentral. Lineage: Eukaryota; Metazoa; Arthropoda; Insecta; Hemiptera; Caliscelidae.